Molecule: ribosomal RNA, 465 nt
Filed under: uncultured bacterium
Lineage: Bacteria
Description: partial 16S ribosomal RNA
Rfam family: Bacterial small subunit ribosomal RNA
Source: RNAcentral
CCUACGGGAGGCUGCAGUAGGGAAUCUUCCACAAUGGACGAAAGUCUGAUGGAGCAACGCCGCGUGAGUGAAGACGGCUUUCGGCUCGUAAAGCUCUGUUGGCAGGGAAGAAAGAUAGUUGUAGGAACUUGCCGUUAUUUGACGGGCAUUACUUAGACCGUCACGGCUAACUACGUGCCAGCAGCGGCGGUAAUACGUAGGUGUCAAGCGUUGUCCGGAUUUAUUGGGCGUAAGGCGAGUGCAGGCGGUUGAAUAAGUCUGAUUUGAAGGCCGUCGGCUCAACCGGUGAAUUGCAUCAGAAACGGGUGGACUAGAGUGCAGAAGAGGAGAGUGGAACUCCAGGUGUAGCGGUGGAAUGCGCAGAUAUAAGGAAGAACACCAGUGGCGAAGGCAGCUCUCUGGGCUGCAACUGACGCUGAGGAGCGAAAGCAUGGGUAGCGAACAGGAUUAGAUACCCUGGUAGUC